ACGGGUGAGGAAUACAUCGGAAUCUGCCUUGUUGUGGGGGAUAACGUAGGGAAACUUACGCUAAUACCGCAUAAGACCGAAAGGUGAAAGUGGGGGACCGCAAGGCCUCACGCGACAAGAUGAGCCGAUGUCGGAUUAGCUAGCUGGUGAGGUAAAGGCUCACCAAGGCGACGAUCCGUAGCUGGUCUGAGAGGAUGAUCAGCCACACUGGAACUGAGACACGGUCCAGACUCCUACGGGAGGCAGCAGUGGGGAAUAUUGGACAAUGGGCGCAAGCCUGAUCCAGCCAUGCCGCGUGUGUGAAGAAGGCUUUCGGGUUGUAAAGCACUUUUGUUGGGGAAGAAAUCGUACGGGUGAAUAUCCCGUGCGGAUGACGGUACCCAAAGAAUAAGCACCGGCUAACUUCGUGCCAGCAGCCGCGGUAAUACGAAGGGUGCAAGCGUUACUCGGAAUUACUGGGCGUAAAGCGUGCGUAGGCGGUUUGUUAAGUCUGUCGUGAAAGCCCUGGGCUCAACCUGGGAAUGGCGAUGGAUACUGGCAAGCUAGAGUACGGUAGAGGAUGGUGGAAUUCCCGGUGUAGCGGUG
Molecule: ribosomal RNA, 585 nt
Filed under: uncultured bacterium
Lineage: Bacteria
Description: bacterial SSU rRNA
Rfam family: Bacterial small subunit ribosomal RNA
Source: RNAcentral